RNAcentral lists this ribosomal RNA (407 nucleotides) under uncultured bacterium. RNAcentral's name for it is "partial 16S ribosomal RNA". It matches the Rfam family "Bacterial small subunit ribosomal RNA", at positions 28 to 526 of the family's 1533-position model. The record is from RNAcentral.
GACGAACGCUGGCGGCGUGCCUAAUACAUGCAAGUAGGACGCAGUUGCGAACGGGUGAGUAACGCGUAGGUAACUGCCCAUUAGAGGGGGGUAACUAUUGGAAACGAUAGCUAAUACCGCAUACUAGUAGAUGGACCUGCGUUGUAUUAGCUAGUAGGUAGGGUAAUGGGCUACCUAGGCAACGAAACAUAGCCGAACUGGGAGGGUGAUCGGCCACAACGGGAACGGGAAACGGCCCAGACUCCUGCGGGAGGGAGGAAUAGGGAAUCUGCGGCAAUGGGGGGAACCCUGACCGGGCAAAGCCGCGUGAGGGAAAAAGGGUUUCGGAUCGUAAAGCCCUGUUGUUAAGGAAGCGGUACUUAACCAGAAAGGGACGGCUAACUACGUGCCAGCAGCCGCGGUAAUAC